Harpia harpyja (harpy eagle) is the source of this 944-nucleotide long non-coding RNA. RefSeq lists it as uncharacterized. The record is from RefSeq and is a predicted model, not a curated record. The transcript has 3 exons. NCBI's taxonomy places the organism in Eukaryota, Metazoa, Chordata, Aves, Accipitriformes, Accipitridae.
UGUGUUUUCAACAACUGAUCAAGUUGAAAGGAAACUAGAACAUGACUGCUUGCAGACAAUCGAAGAAGUUUACUCCAGCCAACUGGAUCUCUGAGAUGCGCCACUGGAAGAAAUAGAUUGGGAACUAUAUACCGACGGAAGCAGUUUCAUCCAUGAAGGAAAAAGUCUAUCAGGACAUGCGGUAACUACUACUGAGAAGGAAACUCUUUACAAGAACUUCGUCAGUAUGUCUCCACAGCUGGACCCUUAGAAUUGGACACAGCAGCGCAUCCCUUCCAACCAGGAGAUUGGAUUGAAUAUAUAUAAAAUCACUGAGAAGUGGAAAGGACCGUAUCGAGUCAUUUUAAGAACACUUACAGCAGUAAAGGUCUGGGAGAAGAACCUUGGCUUCAUUAUUCAAGACUAAAGAAAGCACCAACAGGAAAUUGGAAGUCUAAAGAAACUGGCCCUUUGAAACUGAAAACCUGUAAGUAAGUUUCACGUUAUCUAUUUGGGAAAAUAAUUGUGUAAAGUUUAUAAUAUUGGGGUUGCUAUUAGGAAUAUUGUCAAGGGCAGUAAUCUUUUUGUGUGUUAUAGGGUUUAAGUAUUUUUUUUGAGGGGUUCUAAACACAAGAUAAACAAAAUGAAACAAUUAUUGUUUGAGCUAUUAAUCUUGAUAUUAACCGUUUCUGUAAUUUUGAUUAAAAAAAAAAAAAAAUUCUAGUUUUGGAAUUGAUUCAAAGUUUUGUAAAGACACAAAAUUUAACCUCGAUAACAGCCUGCCUUCCGAUUCCAAAGUCAGAUGAAAAUCUAGUUCCGUGGAGAACACUGACAUUGAAUUUAACCAAAACUUGAGAAAAGACGUAGAACAAUGAGAAUCAUUUUAGCAAAUUAAAUUGGAUGGAUUUAAAAGGCAAUUAUUUUUUUAAAUUUGAAAGAAGGAAUUAUAGCAUUUUGAAUUAUAA